GAUGAACGCUGGCGGCGUGCCUAACACAUGCAAGUCGAGCGAUUUACUUCGGUAAAGAGCGGCGGACGGGUGAGUAACGCGUGGGUAACCUGCCCUGUACACACGGAUAACAUACCGACAGGUAUGCUAAUACGAGAUAAUAUGCUUUUAUCGCAUGGUAGAAGUAUCAAAGCUCCGGCGGUACAGGAUGGACCCGCGUCUGAUUAGCUAGUUGGUAAGGUAACGGCUUACCAAGGCGACGAUCAGUAGCCGACCUGAGAGGGUGAUCGGCCACAUUGGAACUGAGACACGGUCCAAACUCCUACGGGAGGCAGCAGUGGGGAAUAUUGCACAAUGGGCGAAAGCCUGAUGCAGCAACGCCGCGUGAGCGAUGAAGGCCUUCGGGUCGUAAAGCUCUGUCCUCAAGGAAGAUAAUGACGGUACUUGAGGAGGAAGCCCCGGCUAACUACGUGCCAGCAGCCGCUGUAA
This 468-nucleotide ribosomal RNA is filed under the name uncultured bacterium. RNAcentral describes it as "partial 16S ribosomal RNA". It matches the Rfam family "Bacterial small subunit ribosomal RNA", at positions 28 to 523 of the family's 1533-position model. The record is from RNAcentral.